Molecule: ribosomal RNA, 1838 nt
Filed under: human gut metagenome
Description: bacterial LSU rRNA
Rfam family: Bacterial large subunit ribosomal RNA
Source: RNAcentral
GCCAGGACGUUGGCUUAGAAGCAGCCAUCGUUUAAAGAAAGCGUAAUAGCUCACUGGUCGAGUGGCUCUGCGCCGAAAAUGUAACGGGGCUAAGCAUGGUACCGAAGCUUUGGCAAUCCCCUUUGGGGAUUGGGUAGGGGAGCGUUCGCUGCGGGCUGAAGGUGUGCCGGAAGGCAUGCUGGACUGCAGUGAAGUGAUUAUGCUGACAUGAGUAACGAUAAAAUAUGUGAAAAACAUAUUCGCCGAAAACCCGAGGUUUCCUGGGUAAAGGUAAUCUUCCCAGGGUUAGUCGGAUCCUAAGGUGAGGGUGAAAGCCGUAACCGAUGGAAAACAGGUUAAUAUUCCUGUACUUGUUGUGUAGCGCGAUGGAGGGACGCAGGAAGAUAGGCGGGCCGGGUGUUGGAUAUCCCGGUGCAAGCGUGUAGGAAUAUCCGGUAGGCAAAUCCGCCGGACGAAUCUGAGACGCGAGUCCGUGGGCGCAAGCCCUGAAGCCGUUGAGUCUAUGCUGCCUAGAAAAGCUCCUAAGUUUAUCCACAGCAAUCCGUACCGCAAACCAACUCAGGUGGGUGGGAUGAACAAUCCAAGGCGCUCGAGAGAACUCUGGCCAAGGAACUCGGCAAAAUAACCCCGUAACUUCGGAAGAAGGGGUGCUCUCUAGGGUGACAUGUUUAACAUAUGAAGCCCCGGGGAGCCGCAGUGAAUUGGUGGUGGCGACUGUUUACUAAAAACAUAGGUCUGUGCGAAGUCCUAAAGACGACGUAUACGGACUGACGCCUGCCCGGUGCUGGAAGGUUAAAAGGAGGGGUCAGCGCAAGCAAAGCUCCGAAUUGAAGCCCCAGUAAACGGCGGCCGUAACUAUAACGGUCCUAAGGUAGCGAAAUUCCUUGUCGGGUAAGUUCCGACCUGCACGAAUGGCGUAACGAUCUCCACACUGUCUCGGCCAGAGACUCGGUGAAAUUGCAGUCGCGGUGAAAAUUCCGUGUACCCGCAGAAAGACGGAAAGACCCUGUGCACCUUUACUAUAGCUUGACAUUGGAUUUUGGGCCUGCAUGUGUAGGAUAGGUGGGAGGCUGUGAACCCUGUACGCCAGUAUGGGGGGAGCCAUCCUUGAAAUACCACCCUUGCAUGUUUAAGAUCCUAACUUCUUCCGGUUAUCCCGGAGAAAGACAGUGUCUGGCGGGUAGUUUGACUGGGGCGGUCGCCUCCUAAAGUGUAACGGAGGCAUGCAAAGGUUCCCUCAGCCUGAUCGGAAACCAGGCGCUGAGUGCAAACGCAUAAGGGAGCUUGACUGUAAGAGAGACAUCUCGAACAGGAACGAAAGUUGGCGUUAGUGAUCCGGUGGUCCCGAAUGGAAGGGCCAUCGCUCAUUGGAUAAAAGGUACGCCGGGGAUAACAGGCUGAUCGCAUCCAAGAGUUCACAUCGACGAUGCGGUUUGGCACCUCGAUGUCGGCUCAUCACAUCCUGGGGCUGAAGCAGGUCCCAAGGGUACGGCUGUUCGCCGUUUAAAGUGGUACGCGAGCUGGGUUUAAAACGUCGUGAGACAGUUUGGUCCCUAUCUUCUGUGGGCGAAGGAGAAUUGAGAGGGCCUGUCCCUAGUACGAGAGGACCGGGAUGGACGCACCCCUGGUGAUCCUGUUGUCGCGCCAGCGGCAUAGCAGGGUAGCUAUGUGCGGAAGGGAUAACCGCUGAAAGCAUCUAAGCGGGAAGCCUGCCUCAAGAUAAGUUCUCCCCUCGAAAGAGCUGAAGGGCCCGGGUAGACUACCCGGUCGAUAGGCUGGAGGUGUAAGCGCGGCGACGUGCUCAGCUGACCAGUACUAAUAGCCCGAGCGGCUUAUUU